GCUAUCUUAAAUCAAAAUAUAUUGAAAAUGUGCUGAAAUAGGGCGUGUUAAAUUCUGAAAUAGGGCGUACUUGAAAAGCUUUCUGAGAUGGUGCGUUUUCGAACUGGCUGCCGAGAUAGGUCGAUCUUACACUCAGGUGUCGAUGUGUUCUUAUUAAUGAAUAUAAAAUUUUAGGAUCUUUGUAAACUUUGACUAAUAAUUUCAUAUUUUUCAUGUUUAAGUAAAGCGAUAUUAACUUAAAUUUAAUUUUAGAAAAUUCGCCCGCAUUCACGUUGUUCGAUAAAGCUUGUAUCUCAGUUUAUUUACCACUACUCUUAAACUUCACACACCAUCACAACUUCAUGCAUCGGAAACAUCGAUGUUUGCUAUUCGAUGCAUCGAAUAAAACCGAUGUUUUGGACCUUCCGAUAUAUAUCGAUGUACUUUUUUUCGAUGCAUCGACUUUUGUGUGCAUUGUACACUGUACAUAUUAAAAUUAUUAUGUAUGCUUCCAAACUCUUUGCUCUAGUAACUUUUCUAAAUGUGGAAAUUUCAUUAUUUAUGCACAAUUAGAAUAUACACUAUAUGAAUAAUAUGCAAAAUGCAUGAGUUAUUUGCAUUAAUAAAUUGCUAAUUUAAUAGUAGAAACUUUUAGUGCCAAACAACCAUCUUCAAAAUGAUAUUAAUGGAUUUGAUAUUGACACACUAAAACCCUUUAGAAAUUUGGCAGAAUUUAAACAGCAAUUUCCAAAAUUGUUUCACAUAGCUUAUAAACAUAGUGCAAUAAUAUAAAGUGAUGUACUCUUACAUCAAAGAAAUAUUUGAGAUUGUUGUUUUCGCUUUUUUCAAUUCUGGCAUUGACCUUUGGUUUUGUUGCACACCUCUGCCCGAUUUCGGCUUAAGUCCUCAUCCUGAGGGUAUGAAAACAUCAGUACUGCAACGUUAUGUGUGCUUUUGCAGUGAAAAAUUUGCACAAGCGGCAAGAAUUUCUUUACAUGUUUUUUUUUUAAUUUUUUUAUCAAAUCAAAAAACUUCAUAAGUUAUCACUCAAAACGGUGUCACAUGAAAGAAAAAAUUAUGAUAAUAAAUUACCAAAGUGUACCGAAAUGGAAUCUCUUUGCUAGCUGGCACACUUUAUAUUAUUUUACUAGGCUUAUUGUCGCCACUUCAGCACCUUCCGAAAACUUUUUUCGAAAGCUUCUCAAACGACAAAAAAAAACUGGAAUUGGAACUAUUUAAAUCAAUAAAUACAUUUCACCGUUAGUUAAUACUUAAACUUUUAUCGACGCUCCGAUUGUCUCACUUUCUUGUUGUAUAUUUUUAAUUGAAAGAACCUGUUGAUAUUUUCAUUCGAUGCAUCGCAAAUAUCGAUGCUUUUAUACGAUAUAUCGAUAUGAUUCGAUGCUAUGUUUCCAUGCAUCAAAUGGAAAAAAACAUCGAUGUAUUUUUUUGACUUGCAUCCCUAAUAAAAAGCGAAGGCGAAGUUUUUUGAGCCUAUUCCGAAUAUAAAUUUUUUGUAGCUCGUUAAAUAUCUCCGUUAUAUGAGGGUUUUCGAAUUGCAGAAAAACAAGCAGCUACAUACGUAUAUGGACCAAUCGUACACUGUGCGGCGUAAUCACAGGACAUUGAUUUUGCACCAAGGCUCGAACAACGUUGAAUACCGACAAAUUCUCUCUUAAGCAAUUGGUCCAACAGGUUAAAGCCUUGAUUAUUCGUGCUGUUCGCUUUGUUAAAGGAACUCCGGUUAGAGGAAUGUGAUUAAUUUUUCAAACGGGAAAAUCUAGCUUUCUAGUAUGUCCCAGUUCUGCCGAGAGUACUACUAUAGGAUUUUUGUUUACUACUUUUUUGUCAUUUGUGUGGACGGUAGCCAAACACCAUAAAUCAGUAAUUAUAUUGACUUCACAGCUUUGAACUGGCGACAAUCGUGCCACAUCCGAGAGGAUGUGUGAGUGUGGCUUUUUCGGAAACAAAUAUUCUAUGUACGUAACAGCGCGGUAAGAUGCCGCAUAAAUUUGCGACUGGCGAUUUUAUCCACUGGUGCACUGCUACUUACCACCACUAAAAAUAAGCAGAAACUGUGUUUGUAUGUAUCGUCAUCGUCAGCAAACUAAACCAGCAAUUAUCUAAAUUCCUCAAGGAAAUAUAUUAGAAUUCAACAAGUAAAGGCCAACAUAGUUCCAUAUAGAAAACAGCGUCCUCUCUAAACGUGAUGCAUCGUUUGUACUUGGCAAGCAUGUAAACAUUCGAUUGUUUCUUUUAUUAGAGUAUAAGUAUAAUUACAAUUAUACAUAUAUGCACACAGAUGAGUAUGAAUGUAUAAUACAUAUAACUUAGUUAAAAUUAAACUAAAAAGAAAUACUGAAAAAGACAUUGCAAUUGUUAUGACAGACGAGGUACUAACUAUUGUCCAAAUGUACAUACACAAGCGAAAUAUAUGUAAAUGUACACAUGUA
Molecule: long non-coding RNA, 2432 nt
Filed under: Rhagoletis pomonella (apple maggot)
Lineage: Eukaryota; Metazoa; Arthropoda; Insecta; Diptera; Tephritidae
Description: uncharacterized LOC118736829
Source: RNAcentral